RNAcentral lists this long non-coding RNA (391 nucleotides) under Capsella rubella. RNAcentral's name for it is "long non-coding RNA (CRUB_LNC003743)". The record is from RNAcentral. Lineage: Eukaryota; Viridiplantae; Streptophyta; Magnoliopsida; Brassicales; Brassicaceae.
CCACACACAAUCCAAUAGACGUUUCUUCUCCAAAUCUCAAACGUUUUGAGUAAAACUUUAAAAAUCAUUCGAUGAUAUUUUCACGAUCUAGAAUAUAUUUAAUAAAAAGUUUUUAGUUUUUUUUUUUUUAAUUUAAAAUAUAAUAUUUGUAAAGACUAACUAGUAAAGUUCUUUUUUUUUUUUAAGCUCUGAAACCUUCAUUAUAAUGGUAUGGCAACGAUGUUCAAAUACAAGACAUAAAAACAUAACAAGAAAAAUGAAAAAACGAUGCCAAAGCUCUUAAUCUUGAUCGCCCCGUCGUUUGCCUCUUUCAACACGAUCCUGCAACCAAUAACACAAUACAAGAUAUUUACAUCAAGUUCUUUUAAUUAUGGUGUAGAUUUCAAGUUUC